UCUCGUUUUCAGGGUUUCAAAAUCUCCGAACCCAUUUAAUUUUUGUGAAGGGAACGAAUUAAUAUCAUUCCAUGAAGUUUUUGCGGGAUUUGCUCUGAACAGCAGAAUAAAAAUCUCGGAAGUUUUGAAAAAUUGACGUUGAGUAGUUUUCUAUUCGAAAAAUAAAGCAUAGCUGGAAGUCUGAAACGUUGCAAACCGAGAUACCUACGUGGUUUGGAGGUUUCACCGUUGUCGAUCUACCUUAAAUACCAAAUCCUACUGCAUCGCAUAUCUUGAUGAAAGGCGUGCAGGCAAUAUUCUGAUUGGUGCCGUUUGUAUAAUGACUUCAGUUGAAGAGUCUGCACUCUUAAAAAUCAAUGAUUUACUCUGAGAGAAUAGCCGGCGUGAAAAAAAUCCAGCGCGAAUUUCGCGCCGCGCUCUGAGUGAAUCGAUCAGAGCGUGAAUAUCACCAACGGCGGACAAAUUAGUUGAGCUCCCUCAAAUAGGGUGAAUUCAGCGUUGUCUGAUACGGACUUCGAAUUGCAAAAUGGUAACGCACUCGUCUAUCGCCGCCACGACUCGAGUUUAAAUCCAUGCUGCGGCAGUUCCGUUUUACAUUUGCCUGUCAGAUUUUCACUCCGGCCAGAGCGCGAAAUUCGCACCGGAUCCAUGCACUCACAGUAACAGGCGGUCAAAAUAGCAACUGUAAGCGUGAAUUUCGCGCCAGGAUUUUUCACAGUAUGUGGUAAACGAAGUGACAUGUUGUGAUUCCACGGAAGAUAUACUUAUUUGAAUAUGAAAAAAUUAAGUGAGACGCUAUAGCUUGGAAAAAGUUUAAAACGGGGGUCUGAGACUAGAACUCGAGUUCUGGCAUUCAUUUUGUACGUAUUACACUCGAAGCCUGUCACUAAUAUACUCCUGAUAAUGAAAAUCUCGCGUUUCGACAAAAACGCCACUCAAAACAAGUUCAUACACUAGACUCUUCAAUCAUGAAUAGUGCCUGUGCGACUCUUGGUUUAGGUUGAUACUGCCCUCUAAAUUUAAAUUGUUAAGUCACUAAUUUCUCGCUCGUAUUAACUUGGAUUCAGACUUUGAGGACUUUAGUAUGAGCGAACUUACUUUAAAACCACUUAUGGGGUAUGACACAGCCAAAAAUGAUGAUAGUUGAAUAGUCUAUACACUGUUAUUGAAACUCCGGCUGUGGAAGCCGUACUUACCGGCUGCACAGUCAGACCUUCUGUUCUGGGCUCAGAAGCCGGAAAUUCCGGGUGCUGAGGCUGUAGCUUCAACCGCUUCAAGUUCAAAGGCCAGAGCAACAGGUACUAGACCCGAAGUUUCUGGCCUCUUAAUCCGGAACGGACGGUAUGUCCAUACAGCCCGUGAGUAAAGCUUCCACAGCCGUAGUUUCUUUCUUUGGUUCGGUCGGUGCAAAGGCAAACCGAAUAACUGAACACAUCAUGCAUGCGUAAAAAUUCGAGGGUCAAACAUUAUCGCAUUCCUGUUAAGUAUUUUUCUUUUCUUCUUUUUAUUUGUUUCUGAUGUUUUUAGACGCCUGUAAAAAAUACAUUGAUAAAAAAGCUUCCUUGUAUAUUUUGUGGAUUGUAAUUUUUAGCGAAACGGCAAUUUCUUUUUUUAUCUCAUAUUGAGAAAACAAAUAGAGUUUAUGUUUGGCUGCCUUGAUUUUUAGCAUCCUCAUCCCCUAUAUCCGGAUGGGAUUACGUCGGUAUCCGAUCUUCGAAGAAUGACUCCAGCUAUGAUUCAAUGCCUUCUACCAGUGCUAAGUCACAUAAGAAUUAUUUUAAUUUGUAAAUUAUGUCAACCAGUGUAUAUAGUUACAUACUUAUUUGUAUAAAUGUAUCAGUUCAGUAAUUGUAUCAAAUAAUUUUGAAUAAAUUGAUUUCAAUUCCAUAA
Bemisia tabaci is the source of this 1890-nucleotide non-coding RNA. The record is from RefSeq and is a predicted model, not a curated record. Lineage: Eukaryota; Metazoa; Arthropoda; Insecta; Hemiptera; Aleyrodidae.